CCUGCUGGAGAAGCAGGGCACGUGCAAACCCCAACACUCCUUGGUUUCUUGAAUGCCAAUGGAAACUAUACUCUUUUGCACGUGCUCCCCUUCUCCAACAUGGU
RNAcentral lists this microRNA precursor (104 nucleotides) under Ricinus communis (castor bean). RNAcentral describes it as "miR164b stem-loop (rco-MIR164b)". Its record names the gene rco-MIR164b. It matches the Rfam family "MIR164 microRNA precursor family". The record is from miRBase by way of RNAcentral. Lineage: Eukaryota; Viridiplantae; Streptophyta; Magnoliopsida; Malpighiales; Euphorbiaceae.